This 100-nucleotide microRNA precursor is filed under the name Haemonchus contortus (barber pole worm). Its description in RNAcentral is "microRNA hco-mir-40c precursor". Its record names the gene hco-mir-40c. Lineage: Eukaryota; Metazoa; Nematoda; Chromadorea; Rhabditida; Trichostrongylidae. The record is from miRBase by way of RNAcentral.
CAACACCUAGCGAGAUGGAAUCACCUCAGAAUAACCUUGGUGACGCUGAUUAAGACUUCACCGGGAGUUCUGUGGUGAUACCUACUUUAUUCCUCCAAAC